This 505-nucleotide ribosomal RNA is filed under the name uncultured bacterium. RNAcentral's name for it is "partial 16S ribosomal RNA". It matches the Rfam family "Bacterial small subunit ribosomal RNA", at positions 28 to 507 of the family's 1533-position model. The record is from RNAcentral.
GACGAACGCUGGCGGCGUGCCUAAUACAUGCAAGUCGAACGCACAGUUUAUACCGUAGCUUGCUACACCAUAGACUGUGAGUUGCGAACGGGUGAGUAACGCGUAGCUAACCUGCCUGGUAGCGGGGGAGAACUAUUGGACACGAUAGCUAAUACCGCAUAAUAUUAAUUAUUGCAUGAUAAUUAAUUGAAAGGUUCACUUGCAUCACUACCAGAUGGACCUGGGUUGUAUUAACUAGUAGGAGAGGUAACGGCUCACCUAGGCGGAGCUACAUAUCCGAACUGGAAGGGGGAGUGGCCACACUGGGACUUAGACACGGCCCAGACUUCUACGGGAGGCAGCAGGUGGGAAACUUUGGCAAUGGAGGAAAGGCUGAACGAGGAACGCCGCGGGAAGGAAGAAGGGUCUCGGAUCCGAAAGCUUCUGUGUAAAGGAAGAACGGGUGGUGGAGUGGAAAGUGCACACUGUGACGGAAUCUUACCAGAAAGGGACGGCUAACUACGUG